AGAUAUUUAGUCCAAAUCCAAGACAAUCAAUUUCGGCUUGACAGACUAUAGUGAAAAUCUAUAAGUAUCUU
RNAcentral lists this transfer RNA (71 nucleotides) under Narcine brasiliensis. RNAcentral's name for it is "tRNA-Arg". Lineage: Eukaryota; Metazoa; Chordata; Chondrichthyes; Torpediniformes; Narcinidae. The record is from RNAcentral. RNAcentral also lists the same sequence under 1 other name.